GUGCUGCAUGGCUGUCGUCAGCUCGUGUCGUGAGAUGUGGGUUAAGUCCCGCAACGAGCGCAACCCUUGUCUUAGUUGCCAUCAUUUAGUUGGGCACUCUAAAGAGACUGCCGGUGUCAAACCGGAGGAAGUGGGGAUGACGUCAAGUCCUCAUGGCCUUUAUGACCAGGGCUACACACGUACUACAAUGGGAAGGGACAAUAGGUUGCGAAGCCGCGAGGCGGAGCCAAUCCAGCAAAACUUCCCUCAGUUCAGAUUGCAGGCUGCAACUCGCCUGCAUGAAGUUGGAGUUGCUAGUAAACGCAGGUCAGCCAUACUGCGUUGAAUACGUUCCCGGGGCUU
RNAcentral lists this ribosomal RNA (342 nucleotides) under uncultured Rhodocyclaceae bacterium. RNAcentral describes it as "bacterial SSU rRNA". It matches the Rfam family "Bacterial small subunit ribosomal RNA", at positions 1038 to 1382 of the family's 1533-position model. Lineage: Bacteria; Pseudomonadati; Pseudomonadota; Betaproteobacteria; Rhodocyclales; Rhodocyclaceae. The record is from RNAcentral.